AAGGUUUUCUCUCAACAUUUCUUCCCUUUCUUCCUUUCUCAAUCUCAUCACUUUCUCCCCUCUCUUCUCUGAUCAGUCGCCAAUGCGCGUGAACUCGCCGUCGUGCUAUCAUCGUAGGCAGCUUCUUCCGUUGCUGCAUCGCGCUCGUGCCUCAGGUGGAACACUCACCCUCCUCACCACCGGCACGUUACCGGCUCGGGAUGUCCGUUGUUGAGCGAUUUCGGUUGCAAUAUCCCGACAUCGGAGGCUCAUCCAGCAAGUCAGUUUUUAGCGAAAUGGUUCGAGGCACGUGGGGGGUCGCCCGGGAAUGGGCUUAGGCUGUGUUCGCACGUGGGGUGUGGACGUCCGGAGACGAGACGACAUGAGUUCCGUCGGUGUUCCGUUUGUGGUGCCGUUAUUUCGGCAUUUCGGUGCUUCUGGAACUAGAGCAGGUUCUGGAGGAUAUUCGUAUUUGUUUGAACCUAUGUGGUGGGCCGGGAUGAUAAGUAGUAAGUUUCUUCUUCAUUCAUUUCGUUGCUUAUUCAUAUUGUUAUCACAUUCAAACCUCGAGAUGCUAAAACUAGCAGCGUUCUCAAGAAAGCAUUACCAUAUGCACUAGCAUUUGAAUUUUUGUUUGAUGAGUUUUCAAACUCUGCUCGUGUGUGUUUAAUCUCUUUUUUUCUCCAGUUGAUUCCUCUUUUGAGUGUUUCCUUUUCUGAAUUCAAGUAGUUAAUUAAGGUUUAAGAACUCAGAAGAAUUCUUAUCUAUGAAUAUGAAUACUUCAAGUUACAAGGUACAAAAUUAGUUGCCGCUGCUUUUCUCUUCGGAAUUAGGAGUUUCUCUAAUUUUACCAUAUUUAUCACUUCCAAAUUCAAACACAUAGCCAUUGCAUUUUGUUUUGCUGAUCCAAACUUUGUAUUUUGCUGAUCGAAAGAAGACAGAGGAAGCCAUAUGUGAGCUUCUUGUUGGGUUGAAUUAUAUUUGCCGAUAUGAGCAUCAUCAAAAUGCAUUGCUGGAUUGUGCAAGUAGUUUCGACUUUGAAGAUUGUAUGGAGUGACAGUUGCAAUGUAAAGAUUCGUAUCUUACUUGAAGACGAUGGUACAGCGUACAGGCGUAGACAUUUUCUUUCUUUUUUUCUUUUAUUACACAAAGUGCAUCUAGAGGAAUGAUAGUUCAAUAGAAUUGUGAAUACUGAGCAGCUUUACCACACUGAAAGACAUGAUUGAUAGGGAUUUCAAUUCGUCACUGUUUGCUGUUGAGAGGUAUGAAUGUUCAAUCCAAAUUACUCAAUUGCAUCCUUAAUGAAAUGAAACAUAUCCUACCUCUGGAAUCUCUAUAUACUUUGUUGGAUUAAGUACGUUAGUUUGAAAACAUUUCAUAGUCAUAAGUAAUGAAGUAAAAACAUCAGUUCAUCUUUCUGUUAUAUUCCAGUCUAUAAACUGUCUAUAUGUUGCAUUUCCAAGUCUGUUACAUUGAUUAUUGUUCUUGGGACUGUUUUUUUGUUUUGGUCAUGAACUUGUAGAAACUUGAGUAUCUAUUGAAAAGCUGCAACUUUAUUCUUUUCAGGUGGAAAAUUUCUGUUUUUCUCCAUUAAGCUAUGAGGCUGAAUCUUUCAAAUGAAGAUGGAAAAAGGGAGUUAUCACUAAACAAAUGACUGCAAUAGAAGAAAUGGUUGCAAGUGAGUACAAUUAGCCAGACCCUCAUCUUUGUGACAAGAUCUUGAAGUUGGUCAUUUGUGAAGCGUUCUAGUUUGCUAUUAGUUGCAGUUUUAGUUAUUGCUCUCUCAAUAUAUUCUUUUUCUUUCUUUCUUUCUUUCCAAAGGAUGAUCAGUGUAAUAAUUAAGCUUCAUAAUUUCUGUGUUUGGAUUCAAGUUGUAUAUAAAU
Molecule: long non-coding RNA, 1862 nt
Organism: Cucumis melo (muskmelon)
Lineage: Eukaryota; Viridiplantae; Streptophyta; Magnoliopsida; Cucurbitales; Cucurbitaceae
Exons: 3
Source: RefSeq, a predicted model, not a curated record